This 533-nucleotide ribosomal RNA is filed under the name Hyla molleri. RNAcentral describes it as "partial 16S ribosomal RNA". It matches the Rfam family "Bacterial large subunit ribosomal RNA", at positions 1629 to 2454 of the family's 2925-position model. The record is from RNAcentral. Lineage: Eukaryota; Metazoa; Chordata; Amphibia; Anura; Hylidae.
AAAAUUUAAUUUUUUUUAUGUUAACCUAACACAAGAGCAUUUCAAGUAAGAUUAAAAGAAAAAGAAGGAACUCGGCAAAUAUUAACCUCGCCUGUUUACCAAAAACAUCGCUCUUGCCCCAAUAUAAGAGGUCCAGCCUGCCCAGUGACUCUGUUCAACGGCCGCGGUAUCCUAACCGUGCGAAGGUAGCGUAAUCACUUGUUCUUUAAAUGAGGACUAGUAUGAACGGCACCACGAGGGUUAUACUGUCUCUUUUUCCAAUCAGUGAAACUAAUCCCCCCGUGAAGAAGCGGGGAUAAACAUAUAAGACGAGAAGACCCUAUGGAGCUUUAAACUCAAUAACACUUGCUUUUAAACAUAAAUACUUCAGAGUAAUAACACCCAUUACGGCCUCCUGAUUAUUAGUUUUAGGUUGGGGUGACCGCGGAGCAAAAAACAACCUCCACAUUGAACGGGGAACAUCCCCUGAGCCACGAGCCACAACUCUAUGCACCAAUAAAUUGACAUCUCUUGACCCAAUAUAUUGAUCAACG